UACGAAGGGGGCUAGCGUUGCUCGGAAUUACUGGGCGUAAAGCGUGCGUAGGUGGUUUGUUAAGUCUGCUGUGAAAGCCCCGGGCUCAACCUGGGAAUGGCAGUGGAUACUGGCAAGCUAGAGUGCGGUAGAGGGUAGUGGAAUUCCCGGUGUAGCGGUGAAAUGCGUAGAGAUCGGGAGGAACACCAGUGGCGAAGGCGGCUACCUGGACCAGCACUGACACUCAGGCACGAAAGCGUGGGGAGCAAACAGGG
Molecule: ribosomal RNA, 254 nt
Filed under: uncultured bacterium
Lineage: Bacteria
Description: partial 16S ribosomal RNA
Rfam family: Bacterial small subunit ribosomal RNA
Source: RNAcentral